GAUGAACGCUGGCAGAAUGCUUAACACAUGCAAGUCAACUUGCACUUCGGUUUGGGCGGCGGCCGGGUGAUUGACGCGUACCGAACUGGCAUCAAAGCUAGGGAAAACAUUUGGAAACGAAUGCUAAUACAGGAAAUUAUGCUUUAAUGGCACAGUAUACUUAUGAGAGCUAUAUGCGCUGCGUGAGACCUUUGAGUCGCAUUAGCUAGUUGGUGGGGUAAAGGCUCACCAAGGCGAUGAUCCGUAGACGGCCUGGGAGGAUGAUCAGCCACACUGGAACUGAGACACGGUCCAGACUCCUACGGGAGGCAGCAGUGGGGAAUAUUGGACAAUUGGCGCAAGCCUGAUCCAGCCAUACCGCGUGGGUGAAGAAGGCCUUCGGGUUGUAAAGCCCUUUUGUUGGGAAAGAAAAGCAGCAGGUUAAUACCCCGCUGUUCUGACGGUACCCAAAGAAUAAGCACCGGCUAACUUCGUG
This 475-nucleotide ribosomal RNA is filed under the name uncultured bacterium. Its description in RNAcentral is "partial 16S ribosomal RNA". It matches the Rfam family "Bacterial small subunit ribosomal RNA", at positions 28 to 507 of the family's 1533-position model. The record is from RNAcentral.